This 486-nucleotide ribosomal RNA is filed under the name uncultured bacterium. RNAcentral's name for it is "partial 16S ribosomal RNA". It matches the Rfam family "Bacterial small subunit ribosomal RNA", at positions 28 to 507 of the family's 1533-position model. The record is from RNAcentral.
GACGAACGCUGGCGGCGUGCUUAACACAUGCAAGUCGAACGCUGAAGACCUGGCUUUUGUUGAGUUGGAUGAGUGGCGAACGGGUGAGUAACACGUGAGUAACCUGCCCUCUUCUUUGGGAUAACGCCCGGAAACGGGUGCUAAUACUGGAUAUUCACUGAUCUUCGCAUGGGGGUUGGUGGAAAGGUUUGUUCUGGUGGGGGAUGGGCUCGCGGCCUAUCAGCUUGUUGGUGGGGUGAUGGCCUACCAAGGCUUUGACGGGUAGCCGGCCUGAGAGGGUGACCGGACACAUUGGGACUGAGAUACGGCCCAGACUCCUACGGGAGGCAGCAGUGGGGAAUAUUGCACAAUGGGCGAAAGCCUGAUGCAGCGACGCCGCGUGAGGGAUGGAGGCCUUCGGGUUGGAAACCUCUUUCGCUCAUGGUCAAGCCGCAACUGUGGGUUGUGGUGAGGGUAGUGGGUAAAGAAGCGCCGGCUAACUACGUG